This 28-nucleotide non-coding RNA is filed under the name Rattus norvegicus (Norway rat). The record is from RNAcentral. Lineage: Eukaryota; Metazoa; Chordata; Mammalia; Rodentia; Muridae.
UUGGGGACAAUCCCUUUGCAGCGUGGUU